GUGGGGAAUUUUGGACAAUGGGGGAAACCCUGAUCCAGCCAUGCCGCGUGAGUGAUGAAGGCCUUCGGGUUGUAAAACUCUUUCGACGGGGACGAUAAUGACGGUACCCGUAGAAGAAGCUCCGGCUAACUUCGUGCCAGCAGCCGCGGUAAUACGAAGGGGGCUAGCGUUGUUCGGAAUUACUGGGCGUAAAGCGCGCGCAGGCGGCUAUCCAAGUCAGUGGUGAAAGCCCGGAGCUCAACUCCGGAACUGCCAUUGAAACUGUUUAGCUUGAGGACGAGAGAGGUGAGUGGAAUUCCCAGUGUAGAGGUGAAAUUCGUAGAUAUUGGGAAGAACACCAGUGGCGAAGGCGGCUCACUGGCUCGUAUCUGACGCUCAGGCGCGAUAGCGUGGGGAUCAAACAGGAUUAGAUACCCCGGUAGUCC
This 425-nucleotide ribosomal RNA is filed under the name uncultured bacterium. RNAcentral describes it as "bacterial SSU rRNA". It matches the Rfam family "Bacterial small subunit ribosomal RNA", at positions 354 to 796 of the family's 1533-position model. The record is from RNAcentral.